RNAcentral lists this ribosomal RNA (253 nucleotides) under uncultured bacterium. Its description in RNAcentral is "partial 16S ribosomal RNA". It matches the Rfam family "Bacterial small subunit ribosomal RNA", at positions 524 to 776 of the family's 1533-position model. The record is from RNAcentral.
UACAGAGGUCUCGAGCGUUAGGCGGAAUCACUGGGCUUAAAGCGUGUGUAGGUGGAUCGGUAAGUACCUUGUGAAAUCCCACGGCUUAACCGUGGAACUGCUUGGUAUACUGCCAGUCUUGAGCCAGCUAGGGGCUACCGGAACAAAUGGUGGAGCAGUGAAAUGCGUAGAUAUCAUUUGGAACGCCAAUGGUGAAAACAGGUAGCUGGGGCUGUGCUGACACUGAGACACGAAAGCCAGGGGAGCAAACGGG